Long non-coding RNA from Vigna angularis (adzuki bean), 1695 nucleotides. RefSeq lists it as uncharacterized. Lineage: Eukaryota; Viridiplantae; Streptophyta; Magnoliopsida; Fabales; Fabaceae. The transcript has 2 exons. The record is from RefSeq and is a predicted model, not a curated record.
UAAAAAUAAAUAAAGAUGUGAGUUGUUGAAACCGGAAAACGUGGCUGUCUUAUUUAAUACUAGCAUUUAUUCAUUCAUUACAUCCUUAUAAUAGUUAUACACUUGUAUUAUACGCAACACAACCUUUUCCAUUUGAGGUACUGAAGAUGCUGUGUCACAAUCCUAAUUCUUAGUUGUACGCAUUCUUUGGGAUGGUGACACUAUUACAGUGAGCAAAGCAAUCAAAAGAUAAAAUCCUAUACUAAAAACAACAAACCUUCUCCGCCUUUUAUUUCCAAAAGGUUGAUCUUGCAAAGACCUUGGUAGGUACAACAACCCUACAAUACAGGCGGAACAUCUAGCUAAAUUCUCUAACAGAAAAGAUUCACAAGUCAAGCAAAGACAGCUCAUGGUCAAAGGUCAAAUGUAAUCCUUUAACUAUGUGCGCCUAGUGAUAUUUCUAAUGGGCCUAGAAUGUUUAAGUUGUGUAGACAACCUGCUAUCAAAGUCCCCAUCCUUCGGAUGAACCGUGUCCUCAAGAUUUAUGGGUUGGGCCCAUAAGCCAAUUGGGUUACCGAUGAAAGUCGUUGGUGGGCUAUGGAAUGGGUUACAAUUGGGGAGAUUAGAUGAUGGUCAGAGUGACCGACCCAGGGAAAAUGUGUAUCUUCAUUAGUAUGGUUAUUAGGGAAUGUGUGGGUAAAGUGAGAGGAUCAUCCAUGAGCUCAAAAAAAGGGGACAUGUGAUUUGGCUUAUGAACACGGGCACAACAGUGGUGACAUGGAAGAAGUGGUGUUUAGUUCAAGGAUUGGAAACAGAGUUGGAUUAGAAUUUAAAGAGCGAAAGGUGUUUUCCAAGAGAUUGGUGAUGAGGGGGCAUGGGGUCGUGAUAUGGUAGAAUGAGGGAAAUGUGGAAAACUGGAUUCAUUUGAGAGUGGGCCUCACCUUCGAGUGUACAAUUGCCAACAGCAUCUACACCUUCCAGCUAGGCCAUCAUUGACUCUUUCUUAGUGCCACCUUUUUCGUCCCCUCCGACUCCAUCACUUGAGUGACGCUUUGGCCCACCCUAGCUAGAGACAAGCUAUGAUUGAUGAACUGCAUGCUUUUCAAAACAAUCAAACUUGGGAUCUCAUUCUUUGCCUACUGGAAAAGCCGUUGUUGGUUGUAAGUAGAUCUUUGCUAUCAAAGUUGGUUUUGAAGGCAUUAUUGAUCAACUAAAACUUUGCUUGGUAGCCAAAGGUUAUACUCAUAUAUUGGGAUUGGAUUCUGGUGACACUUUCUCUCCCGUCAUCAAGAUGACUUCAAUUUGGCUAAAGGCUAUACUAAGUUUACGGAUUAGACAAAGAUGACACCUUCUAUCCCGUCACCAAGAUGACUUCUAUCUAAUUAUCCCUUGUCAUGGUUGUUCUUUAUCAUUGGCCUCUUUAUCAGUUGGAUGACAAAGAUGUCUUCUGUCGUGGUGAUUUGUUGGAGAAAUUUAUAAGAAACAACCUCUUGAUUUUGUUGCUUAGGGAGAAUCUUCAAAGUGGUAUGUUGUGUUCACAAAUAUUUUUAUAGUCUCAAGCAAUCUCUUAGGGUUUAUAGUUUGGUAGAUUCAAUAAAGCUGUCCAACAAUUUCAUGACUCGAUGCAAGGCUAAUCAUUAAGUGUUUUGUCAUCACACAACCAUUGGAUGUAUUUACUUGUUAAUGUAUGUUGAAUGGCAUUGUUUUUCCCGGUAA